This 20-nucleotide small nuclear RNA is filed under the name Arabidopsis thaliana (thale cress). Its description in RNAcentral is "snRNA_04490". Lineage: Eukaryota; Viridiplantae; Streptophyta; Magnoliopsida; Brassicales; Brassicaceae. The record is from RNAcentral.
ACUCUUAAGCUAGAUUUUGG